RNAcentral lists this ribosomal RNA (361 nucleotides) under uncultured bacterium. Its description in RNAcentral is "partial 16S ribosomal RNA". It matches the Rfam family "Bacterial small subunit ribosomal RNA", at positions 338 to 716 of the family's 1533-position model. The record is from RNAcentral.
CCUACGGGUGACAGCAGUGGGGGAUAUUGCACAAUGGAGGGAACUCUGAUGCAGCGACGCCGCGUGAGGGAAGAAGGUUUUCGGAUGGUAAACCUCUGUCUGCGGGGACGAAACGAGACGGUAGCCGAGGAGGAAGCCACGGCUAACUACGUGCCAGCAGCCGCGGGAAGAAGUAGGUGGCAAGCGUUGUCCGGAAUUACGGGGGGUAAAGGGAGCGUAGGCGGGAAAGCAAGUUGAAUGUUUAAGGUACGGGCUCAACCUGUACCGGCGUUCAAAACGGUUUUUCUUGCGUGGAGGAGAGGUAAGCGUAAUUCCUCGUGUCGCGGUUCACUGCGUACAUCUUACGCGGCACCCCAGUUGC